RNAcentral lists this long non-coding RNA (626 nucleotides) under Crocodylus porosus (Australian saltwater crocodile). RNAcentral describes it as "lncRNA (ENSCPRG00005013953.1)". Lineage: Eukaryota; Metazoa; Chordata; Crocodylia; Crocodylidae. The record is from RNAcentral.
AUUUUUGUACACAGACAUCCAAGUGAGAUUGUUCUGCAUUCCAAAGACGAAACUCUCAUUGUUGAGUCUUACAAAAACUCACUCGUGGAUUGAGAAGAUCUAUUAUCUGAACAAAUCCAAAAAGUGGAACCACCAUCCACUAAAACAAAGGAGAAAAACCCAAAACUCAACAAAAAUCUGUGACCAGAGUCUGAGUUUUCGUGGAGCUCCCAAAGUCUACUGUGCCCAGGCAAGCUACCACAAUGAAAUCUUGCAAGACUUUCCUGGUUCAGCGAUCCCUUUGAAUUUACAGCAUAUCCCUGAUCUGAGGGAGACUUGUGGUGACUACUGUCUGGAAAACAAAAGCUGGCUUGGAUCUUGUAUGAAACUCCAGACAAGUGGAGAGAUUGGUGUCUUGCACCUGGGAUAUCAUCAAAGACGGGAACCAACCAAGGCAGGAAAGAGGGGGAAUUUAAAUGACAGGGAACUAUUUGAAGUACAUGUCUGUUUGUAUUUAAUUGGGGUACAAAUGGGAUGCUGGAAAUACUUAUUUGUACAUUUACUGUCCUCUAAAACAUCAGCAUUUUGCUCAAAGAAAGGGCUUGAUUUUAUUUUUACUAAUUUUUAUUUUUACCAACUGAUUUUCC